Non-coding RNA from Microcebus murinus (gray mouse lemur), 265 nucleotides. Lineage: Eukaryota; Metazoa; Chordata; Mammalia; Primates; Cheirogaleidae. The record is from RefSeq and is a predicted model, not a curated record.
AGGAUGGUGCAGGUUCAUGAACUAAGCUGCGAAGGAAUCUCCAAAAGUUAUGUCUUCCGAGGGACCAAGGAUUUAACUGCAAAGCAAAUACAGGAUAUGUUGGGCCUGAGCAAGCCAGCCAUGCCCAUGCAACAAGCCAGACCUCCUCAACCACAGGAGCACCCUUUUGUUUCCAGCAGAUUUCUGCAGCCCAUUCACAAGAUUGAUAUGAACCUCACUGAUCUUCUUGGGGAGCUGCAGAGGGACCCAUGGCCAGUAACUCAGG